CAAUUCAAUAAACUUUAUGGUGUUAAAUUAGCGUUUAACUUAAAAGGGAAGUCGGUGUUAAUCCGACGCGGUCCCGCCACUGUGUUGAGGAGUUUUGCUACAUUAUGUCACUGUCAAUAGACGGGAAGGCUGUAGCAAAAUGAGGAUUCUAAGCCAGGAGACCUGCCAUAAAGUGAGGAACUGU
RNAcentral lists this non-coding RNA (184 nucleotides) under Viridibacillus arenosi. RNAcentral also lists the same sequence under 1 other name. Lineage: Bacteria; Bacillati; Bacillota; Bacilli; Caryophanales; Caryophanaceae. The record is from RNAcentral.